This 253-nucleotide ribosomal RNA is filed under the name uncultured bacterium. RNAcentral's name for it is "partial 16S ribosomal RNA". It matches the Rfam family "Bacterial small subunit ribosomal RNA", at positions 524 to 776 of the family's 1533-position model. The record is from RNAcentral.
CACGUAGGGCGCAAGCGUUGUCCGGAAUUAUUGGGCGUAAAGAGCUCGUAGGCGGUUUGUCGCGUCUGCUGUGAAAUUUCGGGGCUCAACCCCGAACUUGCAGUGGGUACGGGCAGACUAGAGUGUGGUAGGGGAGACUGGAAUUCCUGGUGUAGCGGUGAAAUGCGCAGAUAUCAGGAGGAACACCGGUGGCGAAGGCGGUUCUCUGGGCAUUACCUGACGCUGAGGAGCGAAAGUGUGGGGAGCGAACAGG